GGGUUGUGAGGUUAAGCGACUAAGCGUACACGGUGGAUGCCCUGGCAGUCAGAGGCGAUGAAGGACGUGCUAAUCUGCGAUAAGCGUCGGUAAGGUGAUAUGAACCGUUAUAACCGGCGAUUUCCGAAUGGGGAAACCCAGUGUGUUUCGACACACUAUCAUUAACUGAAUCCAUAGGUUAAUGAGGCGAACCGGGGGAACUGAAACAUCUAAGUACCCCGAGGAAAAGAAAUCAACCGAGAUUCCCCCAGUAGCGGCGAGCGAACGGGGAGCAGCCCAGAGCCUGAAUCAGUGUGUGUGUUAGUGGAAGCGUCUGGAAAGGCGCGCGAUACAGGGUGACAGCCCCGUACACAAAAAUGCACAUGCUGUGAGCUCGAUGAGUAGGGCGGGACACGUGGUAUCCUGUCUGAAUAUGGGGGGACCAUCCUCCAAGGCUAAAUACUCCUGACUGACCGAUAGUGAACCAGUACCGUGAGGGAAAGGCGAAAAGAACCCCGGCGAGGGGAGUGAAAAAGAACCUGAAACCGUGUACGUACAAGCAGUGGGAGCACGCUUAGGCGUGUGACUGCGUACCUUUUGUAUAAUGGGUCAGCGACUUAUAUUCUGUAGCAAGGUUAACCGAAUAGGGGAGCCGAAGGGAAACCGAGUCUUAACUGGGCGUUAAGUUGCAGGGUAUAGACCCGAAACCCGGUGAUCUAGCCAUGGGCAGGUUGAAGGUUGGGUAACACUAACUGGAGGACCGAACCGACUAAUGUUGAAAAAUUAGCGGAUGACUUGUGGCUGGGGGUGAAAGGCCAAUCAAACCGGGAGAUAGCUGGUUCUCCCCGAAAGCUAUUUAGGUAGCGCCUCGUGAAUUCAUCUCCGGGGGUAGAGCACUGUUUCGGCAAGGGGGUCAUCCCGACUUACCAACCCGAUGCAAACUGCGAAUACCGGAGAAUGUUAUCACGGGAGACACACGGCGGGUGCUAACGUCCGUCGUGAAGAGGGAAACAACCCAGACCGCCAGCUAAGGUCCCAAAGUCAUGGUUAAGUGGGAAACGAUGUGGGAAGGCCCAGACAGCCAGGAUGUUGGCUUAGAAGCAGCCAUCAUUUAAAGAAAGCGUAAUAGCUCACUGGUCGAGUCGGCCUGCGCGGAAGAUGUAACGGGGCUAAACCAUGCACCGAAGCUGCGGCAGCGACACUGUGUGUUGUUGGGUAGGGGAGCGUUCUGUAAGCCUGUGAAGGUGUACUGUGAGGUAUGCUGGAGGUAUCAGAAGUGCGAAUGCUGACAUAAGUAACGAUAAAGCGGGUGAAAAGCCCGCUCGCCGGAAGACCAAGGGUUCCUGUCCAACGUUAAUCGGGGCAGGGUGAGUCGACCCCUAAGGCGAGGCCGAAAGGCGUAGUCGAUGGGAAACAGGUUAAUAUUCCUGUACUUGGUGUUACUGCGAAGGGGGGACGGAGAAGGCUAUGUUGGCCGGGCGACGGUUGUCCCGGUUUAAGCGUGUAGGCUGGUUUUCCAGGCAAAUCCGGAAAAUCAAGGCUGAGGCGUGAUGACGAGGCACUACGGUGCUGAAGCAACAAAUGCCCUGCUUCCAGGAAAAGCCUCUAAGCAUCAGGUAACAUCAAAUCGUACCCCAAACCGACACAGGUGGUCAGGUAGAGAAUACCAAGGCGCUUGAGAGAACUCGGGUGAAGGAACUAGGCAAAAUGGUGCCGUAACUUCGGGAGAAGGCACGCUGAUAUGUAGGUGAAGUCCCUCGCGGAUGGAGCUGAAAUCAGUCGAAGAUACCAGCUGGCUGCAACUGUUUAUUAAAAACACAGCACUGUGCAAACACGAAAGUGGACGUAUACGGUGUGACGCCUGCCCGGUGCCGGAAGGUUAAUUGAUGGGGUUAGCGCAAGCGAAGCUCUUGAUCGAAGCCCCGGUAAACGGCGGCCGUAACUAUAACGGUCCUAAGGUAGCGAAAUUCCUUGUCGGGUAAGUUCCGACCUGCACGAAUGGCGUAAUGAUGGCCAGGCUGUCUCCACCCGAGACUCAGUGAAAUUGAACUCGCUGUGAAGAUGCAGUGUACCCGCGGCAAGACGGAAAGACCCCGUGAACCUUUACUAUAGCUUGACACUGAACAUUGAGCCUUGAUGUGUAGGAUAGGUGGGAGGCUUUGAAGUGUGGACGCCAGUCUGCAUGGAGCCGACCUUGAAAUACCACCCUUUAAUGUUUGAUGUUCUAACGUUGACCCGUAAUCCGGGUUGCGGACAGUGUCUGGUGGGUAGUUUGACUGGGGCGGUCUCCUCCUAAAGAGUAACGGAGGAGCACGAAGGUUGGCUAAUCCUGGUCGGACAUCAGGAGGUUAGUGCAAUGGCAUAAGCCAGCUUGACUGCGAGCGUGACGGCGCGAGCAGGUGCGAAAGCAGGUCAUAGUGAUCCGGUGGUUCUGAAUGGAAGGGCCAUCGCUCAACGGAUAAAAGGUACUCCGGGGAUAACAGGCUGAUACCGCCCAAGAGUUCAUAUCGACGGCGGUGUUUGGCACCUCGAUGUCGGCUCAUCACAUCCUGGGGCUGAAGUAGGUCCCAAGGGUAUGGCUGUUCGCCAUUUAAAGUGGUACGCGAGCUGGGUUUAGAACGUCGUGAGACAGUUCGGUCCCUAUCUGCCGUGGGCGCUGGAGAACUGAGGGGGGCUGCUCCUAGUACGAGAGGACCGGAGUGGACGCAUCACUGGUGUUCGGGUUGUCAUGCCAAUGGCACUGCCCGGUAGCUAAAUGCGGAAGAGAUAAGUGCUGAAAGCAUCUAAGCACGAAACUUGCCCCGAGAUGAGUUCUCCCUGACUCCUUGAGAGUCCUGAAGGAACGUUGAAGACGACGACGUUGAUAGGCCGGGUGUGUAAGCGCAGCGAUGCGUUGAGCUAACCGGUACUAAUGAACCGUGAGGCUUAACCUUACAACGCCGAAG
RNAcentral lists this ribosomal RNA (2924 nucleotides) under Escherichia coli. RNAcentral's name for it is "partial 23S ribosomal RNA". It matches the Rfam family "Bacterial large subunit ribosomal RNA". Lineage: Bacteria; Pseudomonadati; Pseudomonadota; Gammaproteobacteria; Enterobacterales; Enterobacteriaceae. The record is from RNAcentral.